This 497-nucleotide ribosomal RNA is filed under the name uncultured bacterium. RNAcentral describes it as "partial 16S ribosomal RNA". It matches the Rfam family "Bacterial small subunit ribosomal RNA", at positions 28 to 507 of the family's 1533-position model. The record is from RNAcentral.
GAUGGACGCUGGCGGCGUGCCUAAUACAUGCAAGUCGAGCGAACAGACGAGGAGCUUGCUCCUCUGACGUUAGCGGCGGACGGGUGAGUAACACGUGGAUAACCUACCUAUAAGACUGGGAUAACUUCGGGAAACCGGGGCUAAUACCGGAUAACAUGUUGAACCGCAUGGUUCAACAGUGAAAGACGGUCUUGCGGUCACUUAUAGAUGGCUCCGCGCCGCAUUAGCUAGUUGGUAAGGUAACGGCUUACCAAGGCAACGAUGCGUAGCCGACCUGACAGGGUGAUCGGCCACACUGGAACUGAGACACGGUCCAGACUCCUACGGGAGGCAGCAGUAGGGAAUCUUCCGCAAUGGGCGAAAGCCUGACGGAGCAACGCCGCGUGAGUGAUGAAGGUCUUCGGAUCGUAAAACUCUGUUAUUAGGGAAGAACAAAUGUGUAAGUAACUAUGCACGUCUUGACGGUACCUAAUCAGAAAGCCACGGCUAACUACGUG